UGGUCGGGGGCUGUGUAGGGGCUCAUCGCAGCGCUGCGUUUCCGCAACACGAGAGCCCGCGAUGCUAAGUGAAGCGCGUACUCACCUGAGGCAGUUCGUCAGUUUUCUCGGGAGGCCCGCUGAAGCACCUGUGGCUCACUUAACAGGCACAACAGGCGGGGCCUGCACACAGCGGGCUGGAGCGGGGGACCCAGGAAGAUCACUGGUGACUUUGCCCCCAAGAGCCUGGCAGAAAUGGAAGCAGAUGGCAAGGGGCUCUGAUUCCUGGAACACGAGGCGCCAUCCCCCCGCCUGAGGUUCAAUCCCUGGGUUGGGAAGAUGCCCUGGAGAAGAGAAUGGCAAUUCACUCCAGUGUUCUUGUCCGGAGAAUUCCACUGAUAGAGGAGCCUGGCAGACUACAGUCAGUGGGGUCACAAGAGUGGGACACAACUGAGUGAGUGAGCAGACAGACGGUGCUUUCUACACCUGGAUGUCUGUGUCCUUCUUUAGGUUUGGGACGUCUUCAGCCAUAAUUUCUUUAAAAACAUUUCUAUCCCUUUUUUUUUCCCCUCCUUCUGGAAUCCGUAAUACACAUAUAUUGGCACAUAGGUCUCUCAUUAAUUUUUUUAAGAUUUGGCUUUCUGUCUGCUGUUAUUAUUGGGCAAUUUCCGUUAUUCUAUCUUCCAGAUCACUUAUUCCUUUUUCUGCAUUAUUCAAUCCACUAUUCAUAGCCUUUAGCUCUGUUUGCAUUUCCGUAAAUUUCUAGUUUUUCUUGACUCCUCCUUGUAGUUUCUAGUUCUUUUUUUUUUUUUUUACAAUAAUUUGCAUUUCUAUUGAUUACCUUUCUUAAUCCCUUCAGUACUUUCAUUACCUUUUUUUCGAAUUGUGCAAUAGACUGAAGAGAUGUUUUAUUGUUUUUUCAGGCGAGUUUUCUUGAUCUCUUAACUAGGAGUGUUUCCUCUACUUCUCUAUUUUACUUACAUUUCUCUCACUCCAUAAGUUUAGGAGAAGCAGUUACCCACCAUGGUCUUGGAAGGGUGUUUAUAUGCAGGAGAGCGCCUGUGUAGCAUGUGUGGGUUUAGUAUUUUUGGCACCAGGACUGGUUUUAGUGCAAAUGCCUGCCGCCUCUGGUUAGCAGGGCCUUCUCUUUGCUCUGUGGUUGUUGUAGCCCUGUCGGUGCCAGGAUCUGCUUAUACCCUCCAGUUGUUGGAACAGAAGCCCCCAGACUGGCGUCUGAGCUGCGCUGGGAGGCAGGUGGGGCUGGAGGACCCCCCGGGCGAGGAGCCACCGAGUAUUCCCCGGCUGGAGCUGCUCACCUGUGCGUGCGCUGUGUGUGUCGCCUGUCACGUGCCGUGUGGGCUCGCACGGUGCCCUGUGGCUGGUGCUGUUCUGGGUACCACCUCAGCUCUGGGUACUUUUCCUCUGUUAAUGCUUAUCCGUGGUUAAGCUUCAGUAGUAUUAUAAUACCGCGUUUAGACCAAUAGAGGUGAAUUUUAUAUAUCAAUGUAAAUUUACAUAUCCUUUUCACUUAAUCUAAAGCAUCCUUUCCCCGCCAUGUAUUCAUGUCAUUGAAAUCAGGAUGGAUUCACACAAUUGGCAGGCUUUUUCUUAGUGGUACAUAGAUUAUGGUGAUGUCUUAAAAUCAGUGGGGUAUGGUAUCUGAUGAACUAGGGCACUUGUGGGAAAUUGAUAUGUGUGGGUAUUUUUCCUCUACAUCACUUUAUGGAACUAUAGCCUGUUACACCUUUUUCUGCUACUCUGCCACUCACCCCACUGUGGCCAUCUGCUGGUCUUUGGGGCCUCUUCCUGGGCACCUUAUGACCUCUGGACCAGCUGCACCCGAGCCUCAGAGCUUAAGGGGGGCUCACUUGGGUCUCCUAAUGAAUGCAGCGACAUUGCACAAACUUGUUGACCAUCCCAACUGAAAUCAGCUCUAUGGCCCAGAAACAUUUCCUUUUACCCAGUUUUAUGGUCAUCAGAGCUAUGAUAGUUUCAUUUGUCUCUUUCCUCA
Dama dama (fallow deer) is the source of this 1990-nucleotide long non-coding RNA. RefSeq lists it as uncharacterized. Lineage: Eukaryota; Metazoa; Chordata; Mammalia; Artiodactyla; Cervidae. The transcript is spliced from 3 exons. The record is from RefSeq and is a predicted model, not a curated record.